GCGGUGCUAGUCUAGUCUGGUUAGGACAUAGCCUUGCCAAGGCUAUAAGGCGGGUUCAAAUCCCGCGCACCGCA
Molecule: transfer RNA, 74 nt
Filed under: Thermoplasmata archaeon
Lineage: Archaea; Methanobacteriati; Thermoplasmatota; Thermoplasmata
Also listed under: 2 other names
Description: tRNA-Gly
Rfam family: tRNA
About the family: Transfer RNA (tRNA) molecules are approximately 80 nucleotides in length. Their secondary structure includes four short double-helical elements and three loops (D, anti-codon, and T loops). Further hydrogen bonds mediate the characteristic L-shaped molecular structure. tRNAs have two regions of fundamental functional importance: the anti-codon, which is responsible for specific mRNA codon recognition, and the 3' end, to which the tRNAs corresponding amino acid is attached (by aminoacyl-tRNA synthetases). tRNAs cope with the degeneracy of the genetic code in two manners: having more than one tRNA (with a specific anti-codon) for a particular amino acid; and 'wobble' base-pairing, i.e. permitting non-standard base-pairing at the 3rd anti-codon position.
Source: RNAcentral